This 953-nucleotide long non-coding RNA is filed under the name Lynx pardinus (Iberian lynx). The record is from RNAcentral. Lineage: Eukaryota; Metazoa; Chordata; Mammalia; Carnivora; Felidae.
UUUCUUCCCAAGGUCGCCUCCUUCAAAGCGCAGGCACAGAGCCCUCGAGAAGGGCAGUCUCUGGACGAGGGAGCCAGGAGCACAGGAUGCACGUCUUUGGCAGGCACGUUCGGCCCCCGGCAGGAUGCAAUCCUUCAAGCUGGAAUCCGUCGGGUGUCCUGAGACACCGAGGUGGGGGGUGGACAGGAAGCCUUCGGCCGGACUCACAUCUCAGUCCAGGCCCGCUCGCUCGCUGUCCAAGCCCGUCCCAGUUGCAGGACCCUGGGGGGGGUGGGGGGGAGGCAGCGAAUCAGGCCCACCCACCGUCACAGGGGCAGAUUCUUCAAGCUGUUCACACCUGCUUCCGCCGGCCCCACAGUUCGAGAGCAUCAGCCUUACGGCAAGAGACAGAUUACUUCCUCUCUGACCCUCCCUGGCACCUCUUCAGCCGGGCCUGUGUCGGAACCGCCGGAAAACACGGAGACCCGUGCUGUGCACGACAGCCCUUUCUUCUGCCCCGGGCUGCGUAGGCACUUGGCAAUCUGGGGGAAGGAGGUGGCUCAGAAAGUGGGUGGAAAUGGGAAGAAUGAGAAAGCUUCGUCUGCUAGAGUAAUUAGAGAUCUGAAGCGAUUCCACUUUAUUUCCUUCACUUUAAGCCAAUCAUGAAAUUUCACAGUGAUUUCUGGGGCAGGGGCAGAAGGACGGCGGUGUUCAGAAUCCUCGGGGCUGUGGCCCAGGCGGCCCGAGGAGGCGCGGGCCGGGCAGGCCUCACUGGGGCAGCUGCAGGAGCACGGACUGCCCGGCCGGCAGGUAGGUGAUGUUCCGGGAGCGCGAGAGCUGGUAGGCGAUGUCCUCCGCGGCCUCCAGCUUGCGCAGCUCGAUGAGGCCGUCGCCCGCGGUGGCGAGCGAGUUGGCGAUCAGCUCGGCUGCCUUGGAGUCGCCCUCGGCAGAGAUGAUGGCCGCCUUCUUCUGCU